GCCGGGUGUGGUGGCCCACGCCUGUAAUCCCAGCACUUUGGGAGGCCGAGGCGGGUGGAUCACCUGAGGUCAGGAGUUUGAGACCAGCCUGGCCAACAUGGUGAAACCCCGUCUCUA
Molecule: signal recognition particle RNA, 117 nt
Filed under: Homo sapiens (human)
Lineage: Eukaryota; Metazoa; Chordata; Mammalia; Primates; Hominidae
Description: Metazoan signal recognition particle RNA
Rfam family: Metazoan signal recognition particle RNA
About the family: The signal recognition particle (SRP) is a universally conserved ribonucleoprotein.
Source: Rfam by way of RNAcentral